CGUGUAGGCGGUAUCAUAAGUCAGAUGUGAAAGUUCGGGGCUUAACCCCGGAAUUGCAUUUGAAACUGUAAUACUUGAGUACUGGAGAGGUAAGUGGAAUUCCUAGUGUAGCGGUGAAAUGCGUAGAGAUGUGGAGGAACACCAGUGGCGAAGGCGGCUUUCUGGUCUGUAACUGACGCUGAGGCGCGAAAGCGUGGGGAGCAAACAGGAUUAGAUACCCUUGUA
RNAcentral lists this ribosomal RNA (225 nucleotides) under uncultured Alkalibacter sp. Its description in RNAcentral is "partial 16S ribosomal RNA". It matches the Rfam family "Bacterial small subunit ribosomal RNA", at positions 568 to 792 of the family's 1533-position model. The record is from RNAcentral. Lineage: Bacteria; Bacillati; Bacillota; Clostridia; Eubacteriales; Eubacteriaceae.